This 385-nucleotide ribosomal RNA is filed under the name uncultured bacterium. RNAcentral's name for it is "bacterial SSU rRNA". It matches the Rfam family "Bacterial small subunit ribosomal RNA", at positions 28 to 429 of the family's 1533-position model. The record is from RNAcentral.
AGCGAACGCUGGCGGCGUGCUUAACACAUGCAAGUCGAGCGAACCUUCGGGUUAGCGGCGAACGGGUGAGUAACACGUGGGCAACCUGCCCCGAGCUCUGGGAUAACCCCGGGAAACCGGGGCUAAUACCGGAUAUGACAUCGACAGACAUCUGUCGUUGUGGAAAGUUUUUCGGCUCGGGAUGGGCCCGCGGCCUAUCAGCUUGUUGGUGGGGUAACGGCCUACCAAGGCGACGACGGGUAGCCGGCCUGAGAGGGCGACCGGCCACACUGGGACUGAGACACGGCCCAGACUCCUACGGGAGGCAGCAGUGGGGAAUAUUGCGCAAUGGGCGAAAGCCUGACGCAGCGACGCCGCGUGAGGGAUGAAGGCCUUCGGUUGUAAC